AUGAACGCUAGCGGCAGGCUUAAUACAUGCAAGUUGAGGGGCAGCAUGAUAUACGCGAGUAUAUUGAUGGCGACCGCCGGACGGGUGAGUAAUAGGUAGGAGACCUACCUCAUACAGGGGGAUAGCAUAGAGAAAUCUGUGGUAAUACCCCAUGAGGUUAUAUGAAUAGAGGCAUAUAAUCAAAGCAUAAGUGAUUAUGCGGUAUGAGAGGGGCCUACUGACUAUUAGCUAGUUGGUGAGGUAAGGGCUCACCAAGGCGAAGAUGGUUAGGGGUUUUGAGAGAGAGACCCCCCCACAUUGGAACUGAGAGACGGUCCAGACUCCUACGGGAGGCAGCAGUAGGGAAUAUUGGGCAAUGGGCGAAAGCCUGACCCAGCCAUGCCGCGUGAAGGAAGACGGCCUUAUGGGUUGUAAACUUCUUUACUACGCGAAUAGAGGUUAGUACGAGAUACUAAUAGGAAGGUAGUGUAGUAAAAAGCACCGGCUAACUCCGUG
RNAcentral lists this ribosomal RNA (495 nucleotides) under uncultured bacterium. RNAcentral's name for it is "bacterial SSU rRNA". It matches the Rfam family "Bacterial small subunit ribosomal RNA", at positions 30 to 507 of the family's 1533-position model. The record is from RNAcentral.